Molecule: long non-coding RNA, 430 nt
Organism: Helianthus annuus (common sunflower)
Lineage: Eukaryota; Viridiplantae; Streptophyta; Magnoliopsida; Asterales; Asteraceae
Exons: 2
Source: RefSeq, a predicted model, not a curated record
CAAACGGGUCAAAAGGAGGCAAGGGAACGGACGCAAAAAGGUACAUUAUUGAUGUCUUAUCAAGGAUUAGACACCCAGAUGGAACGAUUAAAUCUAGAAAGAUAACGGAUGGAAAGUAUAUGUGGAUAAAACGUAACGAGACUACAUGAUUAUGAACCUUGUUUGUAUAUGAUGUAUGCUAAUGUUGCGAAUGUAUAUGGUGGGUGCAGGUUGUACGAAUCACAGAUUAUCAUCAAGAGGAGUAGCGAUCAAGUCAAGAUCAAGGAUUGUACGGAAAGUGCGGUCACAUAGUUAGGUUAUGUAUUGCCUUGAAGUCUUAAAAUUGAGUACGAAUGUUGCGAUUACUUUUUAUGAAACGUUUGACAAUUUGUAACUUGAACCGUCAUGUAAGUAAUGUCGUUACCAAAGAAAUAAAUUUUAAGGUUCGUAA